CCAGUAUCGUCCACUGGAUCUUCGGAUCCUGGGUCUUCUCGAAGAUCCCGCCCGCGCGAUUAGCUCAGCGGG
RNAcentral lists this transfer RNA (72 nucleotides) under Streptomyces hygroscopicus subsp. jinggangensis TL01. Its description in RNAcentral is "tRNA-Val". The record is from RNAcentral. Lineage: Bacteria; Bacillati; Actinomycetota; Actinomycetes; Kitasatosporales; Streptomycetaceae.